RNAcentral lists this ribosomal RNA (497 nucleotides) under uncultured Pseudomonadota bacterium. RNAcentral describes it as "bacterial SSU rRNA". It matches the Rfam family "Bacterial small subunit ribosomal RNA", at positions 355 to 868 of the family's 1533-position model. Lineage: Bacteria; Pseudomonadati; Pseudomonadota. The record is from RNAcentral.
UGGGGAAUAUUGGACAAUCGGCGAAAGCCUGAUCCAGCAAUGCCGCGUGAGUGAUGAAGGGCCUUAGGGUUGUAAAGCUCUUUUACCCGGGAUGAUAAUGACAGUACCGGGAGAAUAAGCCCCGGCUAACUCCGUGCCAGCAGCCGCGGUAAUACGGAGGGGGCUAGCGUUGUUCGGAAUUACUGGGCGUAAAGCGCGCGUAGGCGGCUUUGUAAGUUAGAGGUGAAGGCCCGGAGCUCAACUCCGGAACUGCCUUUAAGACUGCAUCGCUAGAACGUUGGAGAGGUGAGUGGAAUUCCGAGUGUAGAGGUGAAAUUCGUAGAUAUUCGGAAGAACACCAGUGGCGAAGGCGAACUCACUGGACAACUGUUGACGCUGAGGUGCGAAAGCGUGGGAGCAAACAGGAUUAGAUACCCUGGUAGUCCACGCCGUAAACGAUGAUGACUAGCUGUCGGGGCUCAUGGAGUUUCGGUGGCGCAGCUAACGCGUUAAGUCAU